ACCAGGAUAGCUCAGUUGGUAGAGCAGAGGACUGAAAAUC
This 40-nucleotide transfer RNA is filed under the name Welwitschia mirabilis. RNAcentral's name for it is "partial tRNA-Phe". The record is from RNAcentral. Lineage: Eukaryota; Viridiplantae; Streptophyta; Gnetopsida; Welwitschiales; Welwitschiaceae.